AUGGAGAGCUCACCGAGAUCUCAGCCCAAACUAUCAGACCUAGAAGAAGAAGGGCAAGCAAAAAGAGAGACGAAGCAAGGAGGGUGGAUCACCCUUCCCUUCAUAGCUGGGAGCAUGCUGGGGCUGGGGCUGGCCAUCAACGGCACCACCAGCAACCUGCAGAUUUACCUCAUCAAGGAGUACAACGUGGAGAGCAUCGACGCGGCGCAGAUCGCCAACAUCGUCCGCGGCUCGCUCAACCUCGUCCCCGUCGCCGGAGCCAUCCUCUCCGACUCCUACUUGGGCUGCUUCCCGGUCAUCCUCGCCGGCGCAGCCAUCAAUGUUCUGUCCUUCGUGCUGUUCACUCUCUCAGCGGCCCUGCCGUCCCUACGGCCGCCGCGCUGCCCGGCGCCGUCUGCCGCGUGCCAGCGCGGAACGCCCGAGCAGCUCGCCGUGCUGUACGCCGCGGUGUCCCUUCUAGCCAUCGGCACCGGCGGGACGCGUUUCAACGUGGCCACCAUGGGCGCGGACCAGUUCGGCGGCGCGCGCGACCAGGACACCUUCUUCAACUGGUACUUUGUGUUCCUCUACGCUUCCUUCCUGAUCGGCGAUACGGCCAUCGUCUACAUCCAGGACGGCGUAUCCUGGGCCCUGGGCUUCGGCGUCUGCCUCGCCGCGACGGCGUUCAGUCUGGUCCUCUUUCUCCUCGGCGCGCGGUACUACCGGAUGCCCGCGGCAAAGGGCAGCCCAUACUCCGAGCUGGCCCGCGUCGUCGUGGCCGCCGUGCGCAAGGCUCGCGUCCGUGUCGGCGCGCUAGGUCCUGUGCGGUACUACGUGGGAGACAAUGCCGUCGUGGACUCGGUCGGCGAGGGCGCUCCAAGUAAACGAUUAAGCUUUCUUAAUCGUGCCGCCAUGAUCACCACCACCGACAACCCGAUGGAUGAUGCGUCGGGUGGUCGUCGUACAAGCGGCUGGCGGCUGUGCAGGGUGCAGCAAGUGGAGGAUCUCAAGUCUCUGCUCGGCGUCUUACCGCUGUGGUCAUCUGGUAUAAUGCUCAGCGUGUCCAUCGGGGUGGUGAUCGGCAUGAUCAUCCUGCAGGCUCUCGCCAUGGACCGCUCCCUCGGACCGCGCUUCAAGAUCCCAGCAGGGUCCAUCACUGUCUGCUCGCUCGUGGCCUUCAUCGCUGUCACCCCGGUCCUUGACCGUGCCGUCUUCCCGCUCUGGCGCAGGAUCACCGGCAUGCCGCCGUCCCCGCUGCAGCGCGUGGGGCUCGGCCACGUCGUGAACAUUGCGGGCAUGGUGGUCGCGGCUCUGGUGGAGCGCCGAAGGUUGAGUGUCGUGCACGCGCACGGCGGCGCCGAUGCGGCGGCCGGCUGGGUUACCCCCAUGUCCGUAUUGUGGCUCCUGCUUCCUCUUGGUGUCGUGGGGAUCGGGGAGGCCCUCCACUUCCCCGGAAACAUGGCCUUCUACUAUCUGGAGUUCCCCAAGACGUUGCGGAGCUUGGCGACGGCCAUGGCGCCGCUGCUCAUCGCCAUGGGGUUCUACCUCAGCACAGUCUUCGUCGACGUGGUGAGGCGGGUCACGGCAUGGCUGCCGGGGAACGUAAACCAGGCGAGGCUGGACAACGUGUACUGGACAGUGGCUGUGGCAGUGACGGUGAACUUUGGCUAUUUCCUCAUUUGUGCCAGCCGAUAUAAGUAUCAAAACCAAUCGACAACCAUGGUGAUGUAA
Molecule: ribosomal RNA, 1710 nt
Filed under: Triticum aestivum (bread wheat)
Lineage: Eukaryota; Viridiplantae; Streptophyta; Magnoliopsida; Poales; Poaceae
Description: partial small subunit ribosomal RNA
Source: RNAcentral